UACUGGAAACGGUAGCUAAUACCGCAUAACGUCGCAAGACCAAAGUGGGGGACCUUCGGGCCUCACACCAUCGGAUGAACCCAGAUGGGAUUAGCUAGUAGGUGGGGUAAUGGCUCACCUAGGCGACGAUCCCUAGCUGGUCUGAGAGGAUGACCAGCCACACUGGAACUGAGACACGGUCCAGACUCCUACGGGAGGCAGCAGUGGGGAAUAUUGCACAAUGGGGGAAACCCUGAUGCAGCCAUGCCGCGUGUGUGAAGAAGGCCUUCGGGUUGUAAAGCACUUUCAGCGGGGAGGAAGGCGGUGGCGUUAAUAGCGCUAUCGAUUGACGUUACCCGCAGAAGAAGCACCGGCUAACUCCGUGCCAGCAGCCGCGGUAAUACGGAGGGUGCGAGCGUUAAUCGGAAUUACUGGGCGUAAAGCGUACGCAGGCGGUCUGUUAAGUCAGAUGUGAAAUCCCCGGGCUUAACCUGGGAACUGCAUUUGAAACUGGCAGGCUAGAGUCUCGUAGAGGGGGGUAGAAUUCCAGGUGUAGCGGUGAAAUGCGUAAAGAUCUGGAGGAAUACCGGUGGCGAAGGCGGCCCCCUGGACGAAGACUGACGCUCAGGUACGAAAGCGUGGGGAGCAAACAGGAUUAGAUACCCUGGUAGUCCACGCUGUAAACGAUGUCGAUUUGAAGGUUGUGGCCUUGAGCCGUGGCUUUCGGAGCUAACGCGUUAAAUCGACCGCCUGGGGAGUACGGCCGCAAGGUUAAAACUCAAAUGAAUUGACGGGGGCCCGCACAAGCGGUGGAGCAUGUGGUUUAAUUCGAUGCAACGCGAAGAACCUUACCUACUCUUGACAUCCAGAGAACAUGGCAGAGAUGCCCUGGUGCCUUCGGGAACUCUGAGACAGGUGCUGCAUGGCUGUCGUCAGCUCGUGUUGUGAAAUGUUGGGUUAAGUCCCGCAACGAGCGCAACCCUUAUCCUUUGUUGCCAGCGAUUCGGUCGGGAACUCAAAGGAGACUGCCGGUGAUAAACCGGAGGAAGGUGGGGAUGAGGUCAAGUCAUCAUGGCCCUUACGAGUAGGGCUACACACGUGCUACAAUGGCGCAUACAAAGAGAAGCGAUCUCGCGAGAGUCAGCGGACCUCAUAAAGUGCGUCGUAGUCCGGAUUGGAGUCUGCAACUCGACUCCAUGAAGUCGGAAUCGCUAGUAAUCGUGGAUCAGAAU
Molecule: ribosomal RNA, 1211 nt
Filed under: uncultured bacterium
Lineage: Bacteria
Description: bacterial SSU rRNA
Rfam family: Bacterial small subunit ribosomal RNA
Source: RNAcentral